GGGGUUCGAUUAUGGCUCAGAUUGAACGCUGGCGGGAUGCUUUACACAUGCAAGUCGAACGGCAGCACGGACUUCGGUCUGGUGGCGAGUGGCGAACGGGUGAGUAAUGUAUCGGAACGUGCCUAGUAGCGGGGAUAACUACGCGAAAGCGUAGCUAAUACCGCAUACGCCCUUCGGGGAAAGCGGGACCUUCGGGCCUCGCACUAUUAGAGCGGCCGAUAUCGGAUUAGCUAGUUGGUGGGGUAACGGCUCACUGGUUAGCGACGAUCCGUAGCUGGUUUGAGAGGACGACCAGCCACACUGGGACUGAGACACGGCCUAGACUCUACGGGAGGCAAAGAGCAGGGGAAUUUUGGACAAUGGGGGAAACCCUGAUCCAGCCAUCCCGCGUGUGCGAUGAAGGCCUUCGGGUUGUAAAGCACUUUGGCAGAUGGGCACGGAUAACACCUCCUGUGCAACUGAUUGUACCUGCAGAAGGGCACCGCUAACUACGGCAAGCAAAGCUGCGGCACACGAAAGGCACCGAAUAAUGGGUGGCGCGGCGCAGGCGGUUCGGAGAGAGAUGAAAUCCCAGAGCUUAACUUUGAACCGCAUUUAACUACCGAGCUAGAGUGUGUCAGGAGGGAGGUGGAAUUCCGCGUGUAGCAGUGAAAUGCGUAGAUAUGCGGAGGAACACCGAUGGCGAAGGCAGCCUCCUGGGAUAACACUGACGCUCAUGCACGAAAGCGUGGGGAGCAAACAGAUUAGAUACCCUGGUAGUCCACGCCCUAAACGAUGUCAACUAGCUGUUGGGGCCUUCGGGCCUGCGGUAGCGCAGCUAACGCGUGAAGCGGACCUUCGCCGGGGAGCACACGAUUAAACCGUGAAUGAUGGGAUCACGGAGAUGUGGACGAAUUUUGAGUGCAAAGGCGAAAAACUUUACUCUACUCUUGAUAUGGCUCAAUCCCCUUAAGAGAUUGAGUCAAGAGAACUGAACACAGUGCUGGCAUGGCUGUCGUCAGCUCGUACUGGAUGUUGGGCUGUCCGGCAACGAGCGCAACCUAUUGUUGAAGGCGCAGCAGGGCGGUGAAUUCUUCGUGAUGAUUGCCGGUGACAAACCGAGGAAGGUGGGGAUGACGUCAAGUCCUCAUGGCCCUUAUGGGUAGGGCUUCACACGUCAUACAAUGGUCGGGACAGAGGGUCGCCAACCCGCGAGGGGGAGCCAACUUGCAGAAACCCGAUCGUAGUCCGGACGUAUCUGCACCCACCGCGAAAGCUCAACCGAAGUAGUGAAUUUUCAAAGAGAUUCGGCAUGUUGCAGUAGUUAUUGCUCCUGGCUCGAAGACACCGCUCGUCACACCAUGGGAGUGGGUUUUACCAGAAGUAGCCGCCCAACUUGUAAGGAGGGCGAUUACCACGGUAGGAUUCAUGAUCAGUGAAGUCGGUAAUGGCACUGCUGAUACCUGAUGCCCC
This 1452-nucleotide ribosomal RNA is filed under the name uncultured Bordetella sp. RNAcentral describes it as "partial 16S-23S ribosomal RNA intergenic spacer". It matches the Rfam family "Bacterial small subunit ribosomal RNA". The record is from RNAcentral. Lineage: Bacteria; Pseudomonadati; Pseudomonadota; Betaproteobacteria; Burkholderiales; Alcaligenaceae.